Molecule: ribosomal RNA, 450 nt
Filed under: uncultured bacterium
Lineage: Bacteria
Description: partial 16S ribosomal RNA
Rfam family: Bacterial small subunit ribosomal RNA
Source: RNAcentral
GUGGGGAAUAUUGGACAAUGGGCGAAAGCCUGAUCCAGCCAUGCCGCGUGUGUGAAGAAGGUCUUCGGAUUGUAAAGCACUUUAAGUUGGGAGGAAGGGCAGUGAGUUAAUACCUUGCUGUUUUGACGUUACCGACAGAAUAAGCACCGGCUAACUUCGUGCCAGCAGCCGCGGUAAUACGAAGGGUGCAAGCGUUAAUCGGAAUUACUGGGCGUAAAGCGCGCGUAGGUGGUUUUGUAAGUUGGAGGUGAAAUCCCCGGGCUCAACCUGGGAACUGCCUCCAAAACUGCAUGACUAGAGUACGGUAGAGGGUAGUGGAAUUUCCUGUGUAGCGGUGAAAUGCGUAGAUAUAGGAAGGAACACCAGUGGCGAAGGCGACUACCUGGACUGAUACUGACACUGAGGUGCGAAAGCGUGGGGAGCAAACAGGAUUAGAAACCCCUGUAGUCC